This is a non-coding RNA of Epinephelus lanceolatus (giant grouper), 438 nucleotides long. NCBI's taxonomy places the organism in Eukaryota, Metazoa, Chordata, Actinopteri, Perciformes, Serranidae. The record is from RefSeq and is a predicted model, not a curated record.
UGAAGCUGCUCCGAACCGGGAAACAUAUGCUGUCAUUACAAACCUCAGGAGGGAGUAUGAUAAUGAAGAGCCCUUAUUUAUGCCUGUUUACCACACCUUAAGCCUGGGGACAGCUUGACACACAGUCCACUAUGGAAAGGUUACAGAGAGCAGAGACUAAUGUCUGAAGAAGGAAGGAGAGUCUAUUUAAAGCUUUGUAAUGCGUGCAGGUCAUGUGACAACACAAAGCUGUUUUGUUACAAAUUUUAAUCACCUCAACUGCAGAAUGAAGGUUUUAUGUCUGUUUUCUAAACAUAACUGUUUUCAAAUUGAAUGCAAUUAAGUGCAUUGGUUGGGGAGUUGUGUUUGUUCAUGACAAAAGACAAUGACAUAUUUAUGUGCUGUUAAGAAAUGUAUUAAGAAAAAAAGUUAAAGAUAUUUAGGUUAUGUACAUUUGCA